GGAGGGUCCGAGCGUUAUCCGGAAUCAUUGGGUUUAAAGGGUCCGCAGGCGGUCAAUUAAGUCAGAGGUGAAAUCCCAUAGCUUAACUAUGGAACUGCCUUUGAUACUGGUUGACUUGAGCUAUAUGGAAGUAGAUAGAAUGUGAUGUGUAGCGGUGAAAUGCAUAGAUAUUACACAGAAUACCGAUUGCGAAGGCAGCUCACUAU
Molecule: ribosomal RNA, 206 nt
Filed under: uncultured marine bacterium pM-36
Lineage: Bacteria; Pseudomonadati; Bacteroidota
Description: partial 16S ribosomal RNA
Rfam family: Bacterial small subunit ribosomal RNA
Source: RNAcentral